Molecule: small RNA, 116 nt
Filed under: unclassified sequences
Description: LOOT RNA
Rfam family: LOOT RNA
About the family: Latescibacteria, OD1/Parcubacteria, OP11, TM7. Lineage (Microgenomates, aka OP11)
Source: Rfam by way of RNAcentral
UGCCUAAACCUUUUGCGAGGCAUGGCAUUAAAAGUCCGAUCAAGGUAUUAAGCUCGUCGUCAGAGCACCUUGAUCGGUCAUGUCUCGAAAGAGAUGUGGGUAGUCUUCGGACUAUC